Molecule: ribosomal RNA, 253 nt
Filed under: uncultured bacterium
Lineage: Bacteria
Description: partial 16S ribosomal RNA
Rfam family: Bacterial small subunit ribosomal RNA
Source: RNAcentral
CGGAGGGUGCAAGCGUUGUCCGGAUUUAUUGGGUUUAAAGGGUGCGUAGGCGGCCCGUUAAGUCCGGGUGAAGCCACAGCUCAACUGUGGAACUGCCCUGGAUACUGGCGGGCGUUGAGUCCAGACGAGGUUGGCGGAAUGGAAGGUGUAGCGGUGAAAUAGCAUAGAUACCUUCCAGAACCCCGAUUGCGUAGGCAGCUGACUAGGCUGGUACUGACGCUGAGGCACGAAAGCGUGGGGAGCGAACAGGAUU